UGGAUCCAGACUUUGAUCAUGGCUCAGGACGAACGCUGGCGGCACGCCUAACACAUGCAAGUCGAACGGAGAUAAUUGAGUUUACUUGAUUAUCUUAGUGGCGGACGGGUGAGUAACACGUGAGCAACCUGCCUCUGAGAGAGGGAUAGCUUCUGGAAACGGAUGGUAAUACCUCAUAACAUAGCGGAACCGCAUGAUUCUGCUAUCAAAGAUUUAUUACUCAGAGAUGGGCUCGCGUCUGAUUAGCUAGUUGGUGAGGUAACGGCUCACCAAGGCGACGAUCAGUAGCCGGACUGAGAGGUUGAACGGCCACAUUGGGACUGAGACACGGCCCAGACUCCUACGGGAGGCAGCAGUGAGGGAUAUUGCACAAUGGAGGAAACUCUGAUGCAGCGAUGCCGCGUGGAGGAAGAAGGUUUUCGGAUUGUAAACUCCUGUUUCGAGGGACGAUAAUGACGGUACCUCGGGAGGAAGCUCCGGCUAACUACGUGCCAGCAGCCGCGGUAAUACGUAGGGAGCGAGCGUUGUCCGGAAUUACUGGGUGUAAAGGGAGCGCAGGCGGGAUUGCAAGUCAGGUGUGAAAUGCAGGGGCUCAACCCCUGAGCUGCACUUGAAACUGUAGUUCUUGAGUGAAGUAGAGGUAAGCGGAAUUCCUAGUGUAGCGGUGAAAUGCGUAGAUAUUAGGAGGAACAUCGGUGGCGAAGGCGGCUUACUGGGCUUUUACUGACGCUGAGGCUCGAAAGCGUGGGGAGCAAACAGGAUUAGAUACCCUGGUAGUCCACGCUGUAAACGAUGAUGACUAGGUGUGGGGGGACUGACCCCUUCCGUGCCGCAGUUAACACAAUAAGUCAUCCACCUGGGGAGUACGGCCGCAAGGUUGCAACUCAAAUGAAUUGACGGA
This 901-nucleotide ribosomal RNA is filed under the name uncultured Bacillota bacterium. RNAcentral describes it as "bacterial SSU rRNA". It matches the Rfam family "Bacterial small subunit ribosomal RNA", at positions 1 to 917 of the family's 1533-position model. The record is from RNAcentral. Lineage: Bacteria; Bacillati; Bacillota.